UAAAAAAAAAAAAAAAACUCAGAAGCUCAUCAACUAAAUGUUUAUGGUAAUGGCUGUACAAUCCUUAGAUUUUGCUAAGUAACAUUCCAUUCAAACUAUCAUUCAAGAUUUUCCUCCCCAACACAACAACAACCCCACCCACACAACACCACCACAAAACAAAGUGAUAUGAUAAGAAUAUAACUCCGAUUACAGCUAUGGCAUUGCACACCUUCCCAAUUCCCAUGGACAUAUGACGAACCAAACUGCAAAAUCAAAAAUGUUUGAUUUGACAUUGCAUUUGAAACCCAUUUCGAUAAUAAGGUGAUAACAGCAAAAGCUACCCAAAAUAUUCAAUUUCCAAGUAUAA
RNAcentral lists this unclassified non-coding RNA (349 nucleotides) under Hevea brasiliensis (rubber tree). The record is from RNAcentral. Lineage: Eukaryota; Viridiplantae; Streptophyta; Magnoliopsida; Malpighiales; Euphorbiaceae.